UCCUAGUCAGGUUCGUUUCCACUGUGCCAUGAUGGGAACUCCCAGGAGUCUUCUAAGCUUGUGCUGUUAUGUGUGUUUCCUGGCUUAGCACUGGCCAAGGGCAUUGCAGAAAAGCCUUUGAAGUUACUGCAGAACGUACUAUAGGAGUCUACUUAAGACUUGACGGACAGAGAAGAAUCACAUCCCUUGGUUGUGUGGUGUCUUGUCUACUGGGGCCUUUAUUAAGACGUUGGAGUCAUCUGGGCCAUGGUGAAGUGUUCCUCACACCGGCAGCAGGGGGCCAACCAAGGAGGGGAAAUAUGAAGAUGAAACCCAAGAUGCUGAGGCUGGAGAAGUGAAAAGAAGGACCGCCGCUGCAUCUUUGAUGAUGCUCCAGACUGCUGAAGUGGCCUGGAGCCUCCGACUUAGGGACAUCUUGUCAAGUGAAGUAAUAAACCCGUGUUCUUCAGGGGUUUCUA
This is a long non-coding RNA of Phacochoerus africanus (Common warthog), 458 nucleotides long. RefSeq lists it as uncharacterized. The record is from RefSeq and is a predicted model, not a curated record. The transcript has 2 exons. Lineage: Eukaryota; Metazoa; Chordata; Mammalia; Artiodactyla; Suidae.